CGUUGUUGGGGCGACUGUUUCAGGCGACCUUCAAUGCCGCCAAACAGGUGCGCACUGACACCGCGAUCGGUGAAAACCCGGUAUCAGUGGC
RNAcentral lists this transfer RNA (91 nucleotides) under Pseudomonas fluorescens. Its description in RNAcentral is "tRNA-Sec". The record is from RNAcentral. Lineage: Bacteria; Pseudomonadati; Pseudomonadota; Gammaproteobacteria; Pseudomonadales; Pseudomonadaceae.